UUGAACGCUGGCGGCAUGCCUUACACCUGCAAGUCGAACGGCAGCACGGGUGCUUGCCCCUGGUGGCGAGUGGCGAACGGGUGAGUAAUACAUCGGAACAUGUCCUGUAGUGGGGGAUAGCCCGGCGAAAGCCGGAUUAAUACCGCAUACGAUCUACGGAUGAAAGCGGGGGACCUUCGGGCCUCGCGCUAUAGGGUUGGCCGAUGGCUGAUUAGCUAGUUGGUGGGGUAAAGGCCUACCAAGGCGACGAUCAGUAGCUGGUCUGAGAGGACGACCAGCCACACUGGGACUGAGACACGGCCCAGACUCCUACGGGAGGCAGCAGUGGGGAAUUUUGGACAAUGGGCGAAAGCCUGAUCCAGCAAUGCCGCGUGUGUGAAGAAGGCCUUCGGGUUGUAAAGCACUUUUGUCCGGAAAGAAAUCCUUGGCCCUAAUACGGUCGGGGGAUGACGGUACCGGAAGAAUAUGCACCGGCUAACUACGUG
RNAcentral lists this ribosomal RNA (485 nucleotides) under uncultured bacterium. RNAcentral describes it as "partial 16S ribosomal RNA". It matches the Rfam family "Bacterial small subunit ribosomal RNA", at positions 30 to 507 of the family's 1533-position model. The record is from RNAcentral.